GACAGAGGGUGCAAACGUUGUUCGGAAUUACUGGGCGUAAAGCGCGUGUAGGCGGCCCUGCAAGUCGGAUGUGAAAUCCCACGGCUCAACCGUGGAAGUGCAUUCGAAACUGCAGGGCUAGAGUCCUGGAGAGGAAGGUGGAAUGCUUGGUGUAGAGGUGAAAUUCGUAGAUAUCAAGCGGAACACCAGUGGCGAAGGCGACUUUCUGGGCUGUAACUGACGCUGAGGCGCGAAAGCGUGGGGAGCAAACAGG
RNAcentral lists this ribosomal RNA (253 nucleotides) under uncultured bacterium. RNAcentral's name for it is "partial 16S ribosomal RNA". It matches the Rfam family "Bacterial small subunit ribosomal RNA", at positions 524 to 776 of the family's 1533-position model. The record is from RNAcentral.